UAUGGUGAAACAACAGAAAUAAUAAAUGUUCUGAACUUUUUUAUCAUCCCUAUAGAAGCAUAAGCAAGUAUGAUUAUGCUCAAAAAGACUAAGAACGGGACUGACCUGAAUUUGUGUAAAACAACAGCCCUAUGCCUGGAGAAAGCAAGCACUGUCACCUGGAAAAGUGGUACAAUUCAGACUGUGAUGUGCUUACCAGGGUGUCCAUGUGCAGGAGGGCAGACUGCUGGCUUGCCUUCUAUCCACGUACACGCAUGAGAGAUUUUUUACAACGCCGCC
Molecule: long non-coding RNA, 279 nt
Filed under: Apteryx rowi (Okarito brown kiwi)
Lineage: Eukaryota; Metazoa; Chordata; Aves; Apterygiformes; Apterygidae
Description: lncRNA (ENSARWG00000012808.1)
Source: RNAcentral